UCCCGAGUAGCUCAGAUGGGAAAGAAUCUGGCUGCAAUGCAGAAGACCCAGGUUUGAUCCCUGGGUCAGGAA
Bos taurus (domestic cattle) is the source of this 72-nucleotide non-coding RNA. Lineage: Eukaryota; Metazoa; Chordata; Mammalia; Artiodactyla; Bovidae. The record is from Rfam.